RNAcentral lists this ribosomal RNA (1379 nucleotides) under Solanum habrochaites. Its description in RNAcentral is "bacterial SSU rRNA". It matches the Rfam family "Bacterial small subunit ribosomal RNA". Lineage: Eukaryota; Viridiplantae; Streptophyta; Magnoliopsida; Solanales; Solanaceae. The record is from RNAcentral.
UUCCUUGUUGGUCCAAGGAAAAUCCCAAGUAUGAAGUGUCUCUUUGUACUUGUAUUUUUCCUUGGCCCAAUGACUGGAAAAGUCUACUAAUACCCUGUAGUCUGAGGAUAAAAAGGAGGAAUCUGCGCGAGGAAGGGAUCGCGUUUGAUUAUCUAGUUAGUGAGGAAAUAGCUUGCUAAUUCGAUGAUUAGUAGCUGGUCCGAAAGGAUGAUCAGCCCCGCUAGGACUGAGACACGACCAAGACUCCUACGGGAAGAAGCAGUGGGGAAUUUUCUGCAACCACGUGGAGGUAGAAGUCCCACAGGUUAUGAACUUCUUUUCUCGGAGAAGAAGCAAUAAAGGUAUCUAGGGAAUAAGCAUCGACUAAAUCUGUACCAUCAGACGCGGUAAUAUAGAAUAUGCAAGCAUUUUCCAGAAUUAAUGGGCGUAAAGCAUCUGCAUGUCGCUUUUUAAGUAGGCUGUCAAAUCCCAAGGCUUAAACCUAGACAAAGAGUGGAAGUUAUCAAGUUUGAGUAUACUAGGGGUAGAGGACUUUUCGGUGGAGCGAAUAAAUGGGUAGAUAUCGGAAAGAAGACCAACGGCGAAAGCAUUAUAUUGGACCGACAUUGAGAGACGAAAGUUAGAGAAGAGAAUGGUAUUAGAUAAACCCAAUAAUCCUAGUCGUAUACGAUGGAUACUAGGUUUUGUGCGUAUCAACCCAUGCAGUGUUAUAUCUAACGCGUUACGUCUUCCACCUGGAAAGUACGUUCACAAGAAUGAAACUCAAAGAAAUUGAUGGGGCCCCACACAAGAGGUGGAGCAUGUGGUUAAAUUUGAUUCAAAGUGAAGAAUCUUGUCAAGGCUUGAAAUGCUACAAAUCCUCUUGAACGAGAGGGGUUCCUUCCGGAAUGUGGACCUAGGUGGUGCAUGACUGUCGUCAGCUCAUGCUGUAAAGUGUUGGGUUAAGUCCCACAAUGAGUUCCAUCCUCAUGUUUAGUUUCGAUCGUUAAGUUUGGAACCCUGAAAAGAUUGUCGCUGAUAAGCCAGAGAAGGCGAAGAUAACUUCAAGUGAUGAUGCCCCUUAUGCCUUAGGUGACACACGUGCUACAAUAGUUCGGACAAAGGGUCGCAUCCCGCGAGGGUGAGAUAACCCCUAAAACCCUUCCUCAAUUAGGAUUGUAGGCUUCAACUCCUCUGCAUGAAUACGUAAUUUCUCGUAAUCAUCGGUCAACCCUACGAUGAUGAAUUCGUUUCUAAACCUUGUACACACCGCCCAUCACACCAUGGGAGCGGUCAAUGCAUGAAGUUGUUAUCUCAAUCUCAAGAAGAGAAGUGUCGAAAGAUGGGCUAGUUAUUGGAGUGAAUUCGUAACAAAGUAGUCGUAUAGGAAGGUGCUACUA